Fukomys damarensis (Damara mole-rat) is the source of this 268-nucleotide unclassified non-coding RNA. Its record names the gene 7SK. It matches the Rfam family "7SK RNA". Rfam says of the family: 7SK was discovered as an abundant small nuclear RNA in the mid-70s but a possible function has only recently been suggested. Two independent studies have found that 7SK RNA binds the CDK9/cyclin T complex (known as elongation factor P-TEFb). P-TEFb activates transcription by phosphorylating the C-terminal domain of RNA polymerase II. NCBI's taxonomy places the organism in Eukaryota, Metazoa, Chordata, Mammalia, Rodentia, Bathyergidae. The record is from Ensembl.
GGAUGUGAGGGCGAUGCGGCUGCAGUAUCUGUCACCCCAUUAAUUGCCAAGGUCGAUUCAGCCGAUCUGGCCGGCUGGGUGGGUGUCCCCUUCUCCCUCACUGCUCCACGUACGACCCUCACUAUUCACUCCCUGAAGGAGAACGACCACCCCCAGUGGAGGAGAACAGUUUCUUUGGUCACGGGUAUACAAGUUGCUCUGCUACCCUGCUAGAACCUCCACAUAAGCUCCCAAGAAAGGAACUGAGAGGGCAUAGCUCUAAGGAGAG